ACUUGACCAGACUUUACUUUAAAAAACAAACAAACACCAUUUUCUUUGAUUAUUAGUAAAACAUGACAUUUUCCCCAUAUUUUGGUUAACCAUUUUAUAUCCUUUUCUGAUGAAUUGCAUAUGUAUGGCACAUAUACAGACAGCAAUGUUGAAGAAUAAUGCCAUAGUAAUUGUGGAUCCAAAACCAAUCUCCUGACUAGAUCCUAUAUUACUUCCACACUUCACAUGCUUAGACUGACAGCUCCCCAGACUAAAUGAGCAGUUUUUCUUUUCCACCAAAAAGACUUGAUAUGACUAAUUGCUGCCAAAUGUUUUUGUAUUUCCAUUUCAUGCCCCUUUAUAUGUUAAGUCUUAUGUUUUAGGAUUUUGCCUUAGUGAAGGAAGGCAUGAUUAACAAAUGAAAAACGGUAAAUCCUCUUCUAUCUAAGAAACAUUUUACAAGUUUUAUUUGGCAUUUUCUUUUGGAAAGCCUUUUUUGUUGUUGUUGCAGUUCUUGUAUUUGUUCACUAUGUUAUUCUUUUAUUUGGUAGGAUCAAUCUGAAUAUGUAAAUUUGCAAAGGUAGGAAAAGCAAAAAUCUGUGAGUAGCUUGUUACAGAAAGCUGGGAGCCAUUAUUGGUUGAGUUUGUUAAUGCCCUCUGCAGACUUUUCCACGGUUUUAUUUACUGUGCAGGUUGAAACAGUGCUAACAUAUUCACCUGGUAGUUCUUGGGGAUAAUGUAUUUUCCUUCUGCAUGAGGCCAAAAGCUAUUCUCAAUUCUGGUAGCUUCUCCUAUUGUGCAGCCUUCUUGGUUCAAGCUUCUACACAGCAUCUGUUUUCAGGUAUAUAUGGAAAUACCAAAUACCUAACAAGUCUGAAAUGAAAGAGUUACAUAUUCCUUAAAAAAUAAUAAAAGCCUGAUGGGGCCCAGAAAGUAUCAUUACCAGUAUUCGGAAUCAGUCUCAAAAACUACCUCUUCUUCACCUGGUGAUUCAGUCAGUCACCAAGCCCAGGGUUUCCAUUUCACACAACUCCUACAAUCCCUGCUGCACUGACCUGGUCCCCCUGCCACACCUUGCUGCUCCCUGCCUUCUGUCUUCUCCCAUGUGUCUUAUUGCAAUAGUUCACUUGUCAUCAGUUUCUUCUCUAUUGAAAUUCACUGUAAUGAAUUCCCCGUCACAGUGCUACCAGUGUUAUCUAUCAAAAGAAAUCUAAUCAUAUAAUCUUCAACUUUAAAAAACUGCUGGGCUCCUUUUUGUCCAUGGACUAAAGUUCAGAUUUCUUAGUACAAUCUACAAGAGCUUUGGCAUGGGGACUCAGUUGCAUCUGUCUUGCCAUUUCCCUACCUCUGUCUGUUACACUGGGCCUCACUAGCCUCUGAAGGUCCCUUACCUUUCUACAUGCUAUUUUCUCUCUCUCAAGUGCUCUGCUAGGCCUCCUCUUUCCUGUCUGACAAAUUUAUGCUCAUCCUUUAAACUAGCAGUGAACACUAAACAUAUGUACAGUUCAGAUCUGAUCUUCUGGGUGAAGUCCCUGGACUUGGCUGAGGUUUAUAGCUGAAUCCUGUCAUGUGCAUGUCCAUGGGUUCUUCAGGGACUCUUCCAUUAGGAGGAGUCUACUUGUAAUUCCUGAGGCUUGAGUGAUGGAUUCUAUUUCUCCAAUUGUCAUUGCCUUCUCUCUGCCUGGAUCUCUGUGGUCAACUCCAUGUAAACUUCACUGUUGGAGAGCUCUCACUCUGCCAGGAGAUAUGUAGGGCAGCACUUACAGAGCUUCAGUGUGGCCCUUCUUUGUUGUGUACCGCUCAUAAAUCCUUUUCCCAACAAAUCCUGGGUAUUAAUCCUGCUAUCACACGUCACUAUCCUUUUUCAGACAUGAGUCAGGCACCAGUCCAUAUCUCCUGAAAUGCAGGAAUAUCUACCAAGCUCUCACAGAACUUGGGUGUAGUGAGGAGGAUUGUGGGGACUCAGAGCAUAACGACAGCUCCCUUCAAAAGGAAUAUUUUCACAACUCCUUCCUCUCUCAAAUAUUUUGUAAUCUACAAGUAGAUGAGAGGGUUCAAGGUUGUAGACAUUUCCUUUGUAGAUUUUGUAUAUUGAGAAGAUCAUGCUCACUUUAGUAACUGAUGUAUCAUAUCAUACAGAAAGAGUCCCAUUUUGACAUCCUGUUACAUUUAGACAAAAUCUGCAUAAUAAAGCAAUUUCUUAAAUACAUCUUCACUUUAGAGAAGCUGUAUUUUAGAUUUAAACUAUUCUGAAGAAUCAGUAGUCAAUGAUCAUUUUAGAAUAGUUUGUUAGAAGCCACGGUAAAAUAGACACAUUCUAGAUCUCUUAAUGUCACAAAGCCAAUAAAGUGACGCAUAGCUUUUCAGAGUAUAUGUAGGAUGAAACACUAAUAGUAUUGAGGGGAAAAAAACAAAGUAGAUCCUAAAUCCUCCAUUUCAUUCAGCUAAAAUCCAGCUUGUUCCUGAACAGAUCAAAAUAUUUACAAAAUCAAUUUGCCGUUUCUUAAAAGUAAAUGGUAAAAAGUUAUUGCUUGAAUUUUUUUUAUUGUACCAAUAUGUAGUCCUUUGAAAGCAUGCUCCAGGAAGUAUACACAUUUCCUUAUGUACCACCCUCCUUCCACCAGUAGAGCAGAAGCAGUAGAACAGCUAUUCUUGGUCAUUUAUUUUUGCUGAGAUAAACAUGAAGAUUAUGUUCACAUGGAUUACAUGCACUGGAAUUUACUCAAGUCUUGGCAUGUUACCUGGAUCUGUACCCUCUUUGUUUUCACACUCAACAAACUAUGUCACUGGUUAAGCUAGAAUCCAAUUUAAUUUUUUUAACAAAGCACUAAAUUAUCUUCAAACUUACUGCUAUUACCAACAAAUUAUUUCUGGUACAUCCAAAAUCGAACCACAUUAUAUCUGUAUGCUGCACAACCUGUUUGAGAAUCACUGGUUUAGGCUUCAAAAAUAUUUCAAUCAGGAUGUUUUUCAUUGUGUUAAGUAUCAUUGUUCAAUCAUUGGUGGAGGACUCCUAAUAAAUGGAAUAUCAUGAUACCCCUUGACACUUCUUUACCUCACUUUAUUUUUUGUUCUGCUAGUCAGAAAUAUGUCUGCUUCAUCAUUUUCCACAACCGUAUUGCUAACAGUGCUAAGAGGUGAAUAGGAUAUUUGUGAAGUAACUAGGGUGGUCAAAGGGAAACCUACAACCCACAGUCCUGGAUGUUGACCUCAAACUAGUAGUAAUUUGUGCUAUUGUAGAAAAACUUUAUCACCCUAACCCUGUUGACUGGCUGACUGAUUUGUUAAUUCAGUCAUUCUCUCUUUCAUUCUUUAAAAAAGUAGUAGUUGAGAACCUACCCUUUAAAAGAGAUACCAACUGUAUAGCAAUUCUCGUGCUCUUUUUUCCCUCAUGUGUGUAGUGGUUAGAACACUUGCUUAGCCUUUUUAUUUCAAGUUAUUUGCUCAAAUUAUAUUUUUUAAACAUUUUAUUCUUCCAUUCUUUAAUGGUAACCUUAUUGAUAAAAUAGCAGCACUAUGGCCUCUAACUAGUAAUUAACACAACACAUUAGAAGGAUCUUACUUGAUACAAAUCUUCGAAUUGUUCUCAACUUGGAAGAGUCAUAAUAGAUCAUUUAAGCAAGAUGUUCUUAUUUUCUAUCUACCUUGAGUUUUUGGCAAUUCAACUAAUUCCCAGAAUGUAUUUAUGAACUAUCUGACUAUGAUUGUCAUUCACUAGAAUAACUUCAUUUUCCCUUAGAAUAUUGCUGUUUUCCAUAUUUUGUACAAGAAAGUCAUGUUUUAAUACAUGAGCUGUUGAAGCGAGUCCUCAUACAUACUAAUAUUCUAUACCUAAAUUCUUAUUUAUUCUUUUAAAAUAUAUUGUUUUCUAUUUACUUACCAUCAAAAGCAUCAUAUAACCUCAGUAUUUUAAAUAUCAUGAGAAAAAGUUAUCUUUACAAUUUAUAAAAUUGAUUUAUCUCUAAUAACAAUUAUCUAUUACUUAUUUCCAGUUUUCUUUCCUUUAUUAUGCUUGCUGAAAGACUGACAUUGUGACUUCAGAUUCAAAAAAGUUAAAAAUAUCUCAAAAUGGAUAAUUUAUCUAACACUAACAUAAUCUGGUAAACUCUAGAUUAUAUAAUUAAGUAGAUCCCUAUAGAGCCUCGCUUGAAGCCGGUCUCCCAACAUGGGGACACUCAGCAGCCCAGAUGAGAAACGCAACUUUUGAACAUCCUGGGAGAGUCUGAGGUUCUGUAACAUGUUGCUUCCCAUGAAGAAUAUAAUGUAAUUGAAAUUGAACACUUAGAUGAAAAAGAAUUGAUACAAAAAGCUAGUGAUAUAUUUAUUAUAUACACAACAGGAAAUUUAUUUUUUAAGUUGCUUUUUAUCUAUAUGAUUUGAACAUUAAAAUUUAUUUUAUAUUUUCAGAAGCCAGGAAUUUGUCUAUUUAUUUGUUUACUUUUUAAACUUCCAGGUCAGUGAUUUUUUUAUUGAAGUAUGAUUGACAAAUAAACGUCAUACAUAUUUAAGGUGAACAAUGUGAUGUUUUGAUAUACAUAUACAUUGUGUAACAAUCCCCUAAUCAAGCCAAUCAACUUAUCCACCACCUCACAUAUAUACUUUUUCUGUUUUCUUUCUGUUGGUAACACUCAAGAUCUACUCUCUUAGCAAAUUUCAAGAAUACAAUACAUUAUUGUUAAUAGACUAUGAACAUUAAAAUUUAAUGCUAUUGUAGAAAAGGUGUAAAGUCAUAACAUUAUGAAAUAAAGAGUAUGAUUAUCUUUACAAUGGUCUUUUUAUUUAUUUUAAUUUCCUAACCUCUUUAUACAUUUUUGCCUUUUAAAAUUAUUCUUAACAUAUAAUAAUUGUAUAUAUUUAUUGAAUAGAGAGUGAUAUUUUGAUGCAUGUAAACAAUGUGUAAUGAUCAAAUCAGGGUAUCUGUGUCUAUCACCUCAAAUAUUUAUCAUUUAUUUGUGUUGGAAACAUUCAAAUUCUUCUCUUUUAGCUAUUUAAAAAUAUAGAAUAAAUUAUUUUUAACUAUAAUCACCCCACAGUGCUACAGUACACUGGAAUUUAUUUCUUUUAUGUACCUGAAAUUUUGCAUUUGUUAACCAGCCUCUCCCUAUUGCCCCACCUCACCUUUCCCAGCCUCUAGUUACCACUAUUUUACUCUCUACUUCUAUGAGACAAACUUUUUUAGCUUCCGCAUAUUAGUGAGAACGUGGUAUUUAUCUUUCCAUGCCUAGCUUAUUUUAUGAUGAUCCUUUUAAAAGUAACUUUUCUACCUACCCAUAGGCUCUCUUUCGGACAGUAGCAAUGAUGGUGCCUGACUAUGCCAUGAUUGCUGAAAUAGUCCUGUACUCCUGUGGGUUUGUCACUGCUCGGCCACUGUCUGUAAAAAUCGUGGCUACAUAUCGCUUGUGUUCAGAGCAGCUGUCAUCUCAACAUCACUACGACUAUGGAAUGAGAGCCGUGAAGUCAGUUCUUACAGCUGCUGGGAAUCUGAAGCUGAAAUAUCCAAAUGAAAAUGAAGAAAUUUUGCUGCUUAGAUCUAUCAUUGAUGUAAAUCUGCCAAAAUUUUUAUCCCAUGAUUUACCACUCUUUGAGGGAAUUACUUCGGAUUUGUUUCCUGGGGUAAAAUUACCAAAACCAGAUUACAAUGAUUUGCUGGCAGCUAUCAAAGACAAUUGUGCCUCCAUGAAUUUGCAAAUGACCGCAUUCUUUUCCGAGAAGAUUCUUCAAGUAUAUGAAAUGAUGAUUGUGCGUCAUGGUUUUAUGAUUGUUGGAGAACCAUUUGGAGGAAAAACUAGUGCAUAUCGUGUCUUAGCUGGAGCACUAAAUGAUAUAUGUGAAAAGGUAAGUAUAUUAUUAAUGCAUUAAUUUAUUUAUAAUUGACUUUGUGCAAGGUAGAGUGUACCAUUAUUUUAAAAGAUGCUUUCAAUGUGGCAACUUAAAAUCAUGACAAAAAUGAGUCAAAGAGAAAAUAAAGUUUUGGAAAAGUAAAAUGAAGCAAAUAGGAAGUUCAGGAUAUAAAGGGUAUGCCACAAACUUGCUUUCAACCUUUUAUUUCUUUUUUUAAAAAAUUAUUAAAGUAAUACAUGUCUCUUGUAGAAAAAAGUCUGAAAACAGAAAAACCUGAAGGUUUUCCUGUAAUACUUUCAGAGGAGUCUUUUUUAUUUUCUAGAUAGAUUUGUAAUGCAAGCUUCUGUUAUUGGCUGCUAGUGGUAUUGAACUAAAAUGUGUGUGUGUGCAUAUGUGCACACAUAUAUAAUGACACAUUCAGAAUUCUCAUACACGUCACAUUUUGAUUGACUUUGAAAUACUGAAGGAGUGGGGCUGUUUUAAAUACUUCAACUAAUAUUGCAUUUCUAUUUACCUCUCCUUAUAGAUAUUUCAAAUAGUUUUCACUUUAUAAAUUUAAAUGUUCAUAUCCUAUAUGAGGUUUGUGAUGAUUGUAUCUUUACUUGAAGAGUCUCCCUUUCAAUCAAUAUGAAAUUACUUACUUUUCUGUUAUUUGUUGUGAUCUACUUUGUCUAAUUUCAAUAUUGCUACCCCUACUUUCUACCUGUAUGUAUAUUUGCCCAUGUCAUUAAUUAUAUCCUUGGGUGUCACUGUGAUUUACUUUCUAUAGAGAAUAAAUAGCUUGACUUUUGUUUUCUACAGGUCAGUGGUCUUUAUCUUUUCAAAGAUAAGUUUAAAAUCAUUUGUAUUUUUUAUACAAACUGAUACGCUACUUAUUCCUUCCAUCUGUUUCUUCUGCUUUUACACUUCCAUGCUAUUUUGUUUCUUUACUUCCCUUCUCUUUUUUAUUCCGUUUUUUCACUUCUUAAUUGUCUUCUGCAUUCUUUAUCUUAUUUAUGGCUUAUUUGUAUUUUUCCUGUUUUGUUAUUUUAUUGUCAUAGGAACUGAUCUUUUAUAUAUACAUAUAUAAAAUAAAGUCUCCAAAAGAACCCAACAGGUCACUGCUCAAAGAGUAGAAGGAGAUGAAGAUAUGAGCAUGUAUUCUGGUCCACUUGUAAAGUCUAAAUGGCUCAUUACCAGGGAAUUUUAAGGGUGACAUUGUGAUUAUGUCAUAGGGCAGUCUUCCUUAGCCAACCAAGCUAUAGCUUCACAUUAGCCUUGCUGCAUUUAGGAUAAAAACUUUUCUUUGGUGACAGCAGCUUUGUUCUGAUUAAGAAGAUAAUAGAGAUUUCCUAUACUUCUUAAUUUAGGAAGAUACAUUGUUAUCGCCUUCCUGGGCACACAAAAGAAAGCAAAGACAUUGAGCUUGUUUUAUUGUUUAAGAUUACUAUUCUGGGCCGGGCGCAGUGGCUCACGCCUGUAAUCCCAGCACUUUGGAAGGCUGAGGCGGGCGAUCACAAGGUCAGGAGAUUGAGACCAUCCUGGCUAACAUGGUGAAACCCUUUCUCUACUAAAAAUACAAAAAUUAGCCAGGCGUGGUGGCGGGCGCCUGUAGUCCCAGCUUCUCGGGAAGCUGAGACAGGAGAAUGUCGUGAACCCGGGAGGCGGAGCUUGCAGUGAGCCGAGAUCGCACCACUGCACUCCAGCCUGGGCCACAGAGCGAGAAGAUUACUAUUCUGCCAGGAGUGGUGGCUCAUUCCUGUCAUCUUGGCCCUUUGGGAGGCCAAGGCAGGCGGAUCACUUGAGCCCAGGAGUCCUAGAUCAGCCUGGAUAACAUGGUGAGACCCUGUUUCUACUUUUAAAAAAACACAGAAAAUUAGCUGGGCGUGGUGGCAUGUGCCAUGUGUAGUCCCAACUGCUCAGGAGGCUGAGGUGAGAGGACCACUUGAGCCCACGAGCCUGCAGUGAGCCGAGAUUGUGCCACUGCACUCCAGCCUGGGCGACAGAAUGAAAGCCUGUCUCAAAAGAAAAAAAAAAGGUUAAUAUUCUCACUUUUUUUUUUUUUUUUUCAGUUUGGUAGUUUGUGUCCCAAACUCGGGAGUGCCAGGCAGAAGGCAAUGUUAGAGUUGAACUUGUUAUGUUUUUAUAUAUAAAAAAUAAAUGAUUGCCAAUAGGUGGAGCACAGAGGAUUUUUAAGGGCGUGAAAGUGUUCUGUAUGGUACUAUAAUGGGGGAUAAUGAUACUACACACUUGGCAAAACCCAUAUAACUAUGCAACACAAAGAGUGAACCCUUAGUGUAAACUAUGGACUUUAGAUAAUAGUAAUGCAUUAAUAUGAAUUCAUCAGCCAUAACAAUGUACCACACCAAUUCAAGGUGUUAAUAAUAAGGAAACUGUUGUCUGGGUAGUGGAGAGAGUAUCUGGAAUCUUUGUACUUUCUGCUCAAUUUUUCUGUAAACCUUUUUUUAAAAAGCCAGUUGAUUUAAAAAAGAAAAAAAA
RNAcentral lists this small RNA (8298 nucleotides) under Pongo abelii (Sumatran orangutan). RNAcentral's name for it is "retained intron". The record is from RNAcentral. Lineage: Eukaryota; Metazoa; Chordata; Mammalia; Primates; Hominidae.